UCUGGUGCCAGCAGCCGCGGUAAUUCCAGCUCCAAUAGCGUAUAUUAAAGUUGUUGCAGUUAAAAAGCUCGUAGUUGAAUUUCGGAAUUUGUCGGUUGGUCGGGCUUCACUGUCCGCACUGACCUGAUGGAUUCCUACCUUCUGAAUAACCAGCAUGCUAUUAAGUUAGUGCGUUGGGGAAGCAGAGCUAUUACCUUGAAAAAAUUAGAGUGUUUAAAGCA
This 221-nucleotide ribosomal RNA is filed under the name Acaulosporaceae sp. RNAcentral describes it as "partial small subunit ribosomal RNA". It matches the Rfam family "Eukaryotic small subunit ribosomal RNA", at positions 560 to 782 of the family's 1831-position model. Lineage: Eukaryota; Fungi; Glomeromycota; Glomeromycetes; Diversisporales; Acaulosporaceae. The record is from RNAcentral.